AGAAUUUCAGCAUUUGCUACUUACUGGUAGAGAAGAAAAAUCCCACAGCCCUGCCAGUACAGUUUAAUCUGUAUAAGAAAUGGCGUAGAUACAGUGGAAAUGGUUUUCCUUAAAACCAUCUCUUUAAAGCUGCCUUUCUGAUAAAGUACCAAAGUAUGGACCCUCAAUUUAUGUCUUUAAGAUUUAAAGUGAAGUAAAUUUCUAAGGAACUCUGUCCUUUCCUAGCAAGGAUAAGCAGACAUUGAAAAUUUGGUAAGUAUUUAACUUUAAAUGCAUGUGCUAGUGAUGAAAGUAAGUAGCCAAAAUUCCAUACUUUAAGGUAAUAUUUAGAUGUGAACAAAAAUUCUUGGAUCUCCCUUGCGACCUAAUGUCUGCGUGUCUAGCUAGCAGUUUUAUAAACUUGUAUGGACAAUGAUUAAAUUGAAAUAUACCUUACUCCUUUGUCUGGCUUGUUUUCUUUUUCUUUUGUAUGGUGCUUUAAAUACUAAUUUUGUAUUUCAAACUUUCUUCAGGGUAAAAAUAAGUGGCUGGUAAAAUGUCUUCAAGAAGUAUUAUUCAAAUGUUCCUAUUUAAAAACCCAAUGAUGACUUUCAAUUUACUUAACCCUUCUGUUUUCCAGCGCCAGUCAAAACUGACAAUAGGCAGCUGAUCACAAAAAUCAGGGGAGGGGGUGUCUUUUGUGCUCUUUUUGGAAUAUUGGUAGGGAUCAUUGUAUUAUAAUAAAAUGUUAAUCCAUUGCCUAAUUUUCAUGAAAAUGGUGCUUUUAAAAUUAAGGUAAAAAGGUGAUAAGAUUUGGAAUUGUUCCUUCUCCCUGGGACAUUAUCAUUAAGAGGUUAGUGUGCCCAGCUGGUAUAGCUCAGUGGCUUGAGUGUCAUCCCAUGGACUUGCGAGGUCGCUGGUUCAAUUCCCUGUCAGGGUACAUGCCCAGG
Molossus molossus (Pallas's mastiff bat) is the source of this 929-nucleotide long non-coding RNA. RefSeq lists it as uncharacterized. The record is from RefSeq and is a predicted model, not a curated record. NCBI's taxonomy places the organism in Eukaryota, Metazoa, Chordata, Mammalia, Chiroptera, Molossidae. The transcript has 3 exons.